GACGAACGUUGGCGGCGUGCUUAACACAUGCAAGUCGAACGGAAAGGCCCUGCUUUUGUGGGGUGCUCGAGUGGCGAACGGGUGAGUAACACGUGAGUAACCUGCCCUUGACUUUGGGAUAACUUCAGGAAACUGGGGCUAAUACCGGAUAGGAGCUCCUGCUGCAUGGUGGGGGUUGGAAAGUUUCGGCGGUUGGGGAUGGACUCGCGGCUUAUCAGCUUGUUGGUGGGGUAGUGGCUUACCAAGGCUUUGACGGGUAGCCGGCCUGAGAGGGUGACCGGCCACAUUGGGACUGAGAUACGGCCCAGACUCCUACGGGAGGCAGCAGUGGGGAAUAUUGCACAAUGGGCGGAAGCCUGAUGCAGCAACGCCGCGUGCGGGAUGACGGCCUUCGGGUUGUAAACCGCUUUCGCCUGUGACGAAGCGUGAGUGACGGUAAUGGGUAAAGAAGCACCGGCUAACUACGUGCCAGCAGCCGCGGUGAUACGUAGGGUGCGAGCGUUGUCCGGAUUUAUUGGGCGUAAAGGGCUCGUAGGUGGUUGAUCGCGUCGGAAGUGUAAUCUUGGGGCUUAACCCUGAGCGUGCUUUCGAUACGGGUUGACUUGAGGAAGGUAGGGGAGAAUGGAAUUCCUGGUGGAGCGGUGGAAUGCGCAGAUAUCAGGAGGAACACCAGUGGCGAAGGCGGUUCUCUGGGCCUUUCCUGACGUUGAGGAGCGAAAGCGUGGGGAGCGAACAGGCUUAGAUACCCUGGUAGUCCACGCUGUAAACGGUGGGUACUAGGUGUGGGGUCCAUUCCACGGGUUCCGUGCCGUAGCUAACGCUUUAAGUACCCCGCCUGGGGAGUACGGCCGCAAGGCUAAAACUCAAAGGAAUUGACGGGGCCCCGCACAAGCGGCGGAGCAUGCGGAUUAAUUCGAUGCAACGCGUAGAACCUUACCUGGGUUUGACAUGGAUCGGGAGUGCUCAGAGAUGGGUGUGCCUCUUUUGGGGUCGGUUCACAGGUGGUGCAUGCCUGUCGUCAGCUCGUGUCGUGAGAUGUUGGGUUAAGUCCCGCAACGAGCGCAACCCUUGUUCACUGUUGCCAGCACGUUAUGGUGGGGACUCAGUGGAGACCGCCGGGGUCAACUCGGAGGAAGGUGGGGAUGACGUCAAGUCCUCAUGCCCCUUAUGUCCAGGGCUUCACGCAUGCUACAAUGGCUGGUACAGAGAGUGGCGAGCCUGUGAGGGUGAGCGAAUCUCGGAAAGCCGGUCUCAGUUCGGAUUGGGGUCUGCAACUCGACCUCAUGAAGUCGGAGUCGCUAGUAAUCGCAAAUCAGCAACGCUGCGGUGAAUNCGUUCCCGGGGCU
This 1346-nucleotide ribosomal RNA is filed under the name uncultured bacterium. RNAcentral's name for it is "bacterial SSU rRNA". It matches the Rfam family "Bacterial small subunit ribosomal RNA", at positions 28 to 1381 of the family's 1533-position model. The record is from RNAcentral.